RNAcentral lists this long non-coding RNA (26090 nucleotides) under Carica papaya (papaya). Its description in RNAcentral is "long non-coding RNA (CPAP_LNC010557)". The stretch from base 466 to 588 matches the Rfam family "Small nucleolar RNA snoR77". Lineage: Eukaryota; Viridiplantae; Streptophyta; Magnoliopsida; Brassicales; Caricaceae. The record is from RNAcentral.
GGGCAUAAACCUAAAUUUGAGUUCCUCUCCUCGCAUUAUCUCUUAUCAAAAGAUUAAACAUGUAGUUUCAGGUUCCUAAGAUACUUGCAAUUAUGGAAGUAGAAACCAUGUUGGUAAACCUAUGAUGUGUCCUUAACUUUUGAUUCUAAGGACCUGUUUUACCAGGAAGGAACUAAACAUUUCUUCUUUUUUUAUGGGUUCUAGAUGUUUGCUAUUGAUUUACCAUAUCAACACUACAUAGCAUAAUUUAUGAUAUCUGAACUUUAUUCUGCAUUGAUCUAUUGCUUAUGAGGUAUUCGUGUCUGAAAUAUAUAUGUUAAAGCAAUUACAUGUCUAGAAAAUUUCUUUGGUCAGAUUGAUGCACAUUUCCACUAAACAUGUCCUGGAUUUUGUUCUGGUUUCCUUUUUCUCAAGCUUUGUUGCAGCUGCCAUGGCAAUUACGCAAGACCAUUCAACUAGUAAUUCAGGUAACCCCGUUGCAACAGUUGUGGUAAUUGAGGUGUUUGCCUCAUAUAUUAAAUUAUGUUUUCUGCUCUUCACACAUGCUGAGAUAUGAAUUUAAGCUGGUCUAAUAAGGCUAAGCGCAUCUUGAAACUAUUAAGCCUUAUCUUCACUGAAAUCUAGUGGAGACUUUUCAUCAAAACUAAUUUUACCAAACUAAUAGAAUUCUCGUCCUAGUUGACAUUAUUUUGGAUUUUUUUUCCCUUUUUUCUUUCCUGAUUUCUUAUUUUCAUCUGUUGUCCUUCGUUGCAUGUUAAUCAUAUGUUCUUUCCCUUCUGCACCUCCCCUAUUCAGCCUGAUCCAAUCAUCCUGUCACCAUAAAGAUUUAAGAUAAACCAAAUGUGAGCAAAAACAUCUUUACCUUUUCUUUUAUUUUUAAAAAUUUUUCUUCCUAAAAAGUUACAAGGAUUAUUGAACUAAACAGAUUAUUGGUCAAACUUUUACAUAUUUCUUCUUAGUUGGUAGGUUUUUCUUUUUUUUUUUUGAAAAAAAAAUAUUACAUAUAGUUUUUUUACUGAUUGAUGAUCAAUCAAUAUUGCCUCUUUAAUGGUUGAAAUUUGCAGUGGGUUACAUAUUUAUCUUUUUGUUCAUGUUCUUUCCUAAUUCGUUAAUUUCUUUGAAAAUAUAUAAUGACUGCAUAUUUUUAGGAUGUAUUACUCUAUAUUUAUGUGAUUUAUUAAUUCGUAUUUUUAUAAUUUUUUACUAUUUAUUUUUAGGAGUGUUUGUUGAUUGUAUAGUAAUUCGAAAGUAUGUAUUUUAUUACAAAAGAAAAAUAAUAUUAACAGAAAAUAAAUAAGAAUUAAUUAAAAAUGUUAUGCAAAUUUAAAUUUUAAAUCAAUGUAAAAAUAUUUGUUUUAUAGGUUUAUUAUUUUAUUUUAUGUAUAUAAGAUAACAAUAUUAGCUAAAAUAAUAUAUUUUAUUAUAAAAAUAGAAUAAUAUUGUCAGAGAACAAGUAUUAUUAAAUAGGAAAAUAUUAGUUAAUUUAUCGUAUAUAGAAUUAUAAAUAUAUUUUAAUUUAUAUAAUAAAAUUUUUAAGAUAAAUAUUGAUAUUUAAUAAGUAUUGUAAUAUUUAAAACAUUUUUAAAAAAUUUGUAGGUAAAUUAAAAUUAAAUUUUAUUUUCAAAUUUAAAAUGUUUAAAUAGGAAAUUUUUAUAAAAAUUAAAAUAUGGUAUUUAUUUUUAAUAAAAUAUUAAUACAUUAAUAUUAUUUUUAUAUUUAAAAUUUUUAAGAAUUUAAAAAUUAUUUUAUAUGUAUUAAUUUUAAGGUUAGUUAAUAAAAUAAAAUAAUAAGAAUAAUAUAAAUAGUUUAUAUCAUAUAUAUUGUACGAGACAGUUUUUAUUUUUUUUUUACGCUGUUUACAGUUUUUUUUUUAACGCUAAAAAAGACUUUAAAAGAGCUGGUUUACAAAAUCCGACCGAGCUCAUCCUCAAACCCGUUUCUGCAUAUGAUAUUCAGAGGCGGUGGACUAAUGAACCCUAAAACUUCAAAUUGAGAAAGUUGUUCAAUCCCAGGUACAUGAAUUUUGUCAACUGAAGCGGAUGACCGCUAUUCUUUUAACGCUGCUGCUAUAUAUUUUCCUUCGUGUUAUUGCUGUUUUGUUUUGAUUUCUGUCAUAUAUUUUCUUGAUCAAGACCCCACAGUAUUUGAGUAUUUUUUUUUCUUUCCCCUUAUUGGAGUUUUUAUUAUUUUGUUUUUUUGUUUUUUUUUGUAUUACAGAUAUGAAAUUGUUAGUUUAAAUUAUGAUGUUAUAUGAUAUAUUUUAUUAUAAAAAUAUUAUUAUUAUUGAGUGAAAAUAAAUUAAAAUGAAAUAAUUAUUAAAAAUAAAUGCUAUAAAAAUUUUAAAAUUGAAUAUUAAUAAAUAAGAAAAUAUUAGUUUUUAUUAGUUAAUUAUCUUAUUUUAUGUGUAUAAAUAAUUAUUUUUUUUUAACCUUUGAUGGUUAUCAUAUUUUCGUAUUCGUGAUUAACUUUAUCAAAUCUCUUUGCUCUUCUCCCAUUCUUUCUCUUUCUCGACCUUCUUUACUGAUACAUGUUGAGGGUACUUUUGCUGAAAAUUUCAAGUUUUCUAACUUCUCUCCUCCUCCUCUUCCUCUUUUCUCUCCUCUAAGAUUUAUUUUUUCAUCUCCUCUUUUGUUAAUCUUUUCUUAUUAGUUAUUUUAACAGGCAAUUUCCAAUGGAAGUCAAGACUGGGAAGAACAAAAUAUUUUGACGGUAUCUGUUUAUGCCUUAUUCUUCAUCACCAAGUUGUUUUGAAUUUUUAAUGCAACCUUAUUAACUAAUAUUGUAGGUUUUUUUUUUGCAAAUUUAUUAUUGAAAGUAGUUGCUACAAAUGUUUUAAUAGUUGGCAUUGAACCAAUAUUAAUAAAAGAAUCAAGAUACUAACCCUUAGAAUCAGUCAAGAAGCUUCUCAACGAGAACUAUACCUGCUUUGAGCUUAUCUUACUAGUAACUUUUUUAAACUCAAAUGUACGUGAGUACUCGUGCAUAACCAUCUUAACCAAGUCGAUCUUAUAUUCUUUUUGUAUUGUAUGUAUAAAUUUGAAGUUUUCAAUGUUACAAAACAGUAUUCUUCGCAAAUUCUAUACGCUAAAGAUGAUUGUGAAAUGGUAAAAUUAGUUUAUAGGUUAGUGGAUGAUGAAUUCUGUCAAACGGAUUGCUUGAAGGAGUCUCAUACUUUUCUCAUUUUAUUUGUGAUGUGUUAUUAUGUAAUUCUUUUAUUUUAGUUACAGAUAAAUAUUUUCUCAAGAGGUUUACCGUUUUAUGAUGUUGUUUUUGCAAGAGUUUUCUGCAAAAGUUCAAGAAGAAAUUAUGAUGAAAUGUAUUUUUUUUUAAUUGUUUUAGCUUAAAGUUGAUGUUUAAUAUCUACUUAAUACUGUUAAAAAAUUGUAUUUUUGCAUAUAUACUCUUUUCUUAAUAGACGUAGGUGAUGAAUUUGAUAUCUCAAUGGUGACAAAAACCAAGAUGAUCAAAGGGGUUUGAUUAAGAUCUAAUUGAAGGUAUGUGUGUCUUUUAUAUGAAAUUGUUUUUUUCUUUUCAUCUUUCUCUCAAGUUUUUUUCGGUCCUAAUAGGUGCUAUUAGGCUGUAAAUAAUCUCUAUAAAUGUGAAUAUUAUAAAUAGAUAAAUAAUAUUUUUUAAAAUAUUUUGAUAACAACUUUUGAUAUAAUUAGAUAAUAACUAUUUUUUCUCAAGUUAUGAUUAAAAAAUUUAUAUUAAUGUUAAGAUUUCUCAUACAUAAGUUUUUCUUAUAAAACUUUAAAUUCUCUAUGAAUUUUUACUUUAGUUUUGAUAAUAUUUAUUUUUGCACAACUCUAAAUAAAUUACAAGAAUAAAAAUUAUCAAGAAAGAAAAGUUUAUUAAUAAUAGCAAUAGAUAUAGGCGUUAGUAUAUUCAUGAAAAUAGUUUAUAUGUUUCUUGGAUCUAGUCUGAUUUGUUAAAAUUUUUCAUCCUCCUUAUAUAAUCUAUCAUGUCCGCAUUGGUAUAAAUUAUAUUACUCUACCCGAUUUUAGAUUUUUCAUUUGAUAAUUUUGUUCACAUGCGCUGAUGUUGGAAUCAGGUUUCAGGUGUUCUGCAUGCCAAGUCUGAUUUGUUAAUAUUUUCUAUCUCAUUAUUUAAUCAUCAUAUCCGCGUUGGUAGAAGUUAUGUUACUCUGCCCAAUUUUAGUUUGUAUCAUUUUGAUAAUUUUAACUCGGUUUGGCCCAGAUCAUUUUGGUUGUUCAUUCUUCGAUGUUGCUUUAGAUGUACAAACUCUAGUUUUCUGUUUAUUUUACAAGAAACUCAUGGAAAAACAAUUGCCCAUAUUGUGCUAUGUUAUAUUCUUCUCAUGAUGGUGGCAGCCUGCAGAUGUUCUGCAGUGGUCUUUCUGAAGAACAGGGCAUUUAAUUUAUUAAAGUAUCAUUAGUUAUGUCAUAAGGUAGAAAUUGUACUUCUCGCUUGUUUGAUCUGAAAAGGAUGUGAAUCAUACCAUUUUAUGUUUUAGGAAAUGUGCAGAAAUUGAAAAGUUGUAACUUGUGACCACUUGGUUUUCUACUUUGUUUCUCUGCUGUUAUAAAGUUGCAAAUGGUCUUGAAGCACACUUGAGAUACUCAUAGCUACAUCUUCUUAAAGCCCAUAUUUGGUUGUCUAGAUGUUUUUCCCCCAGGUAGUAUUGAAAAGAUGAUGGGCACAAUUCUCUAGCUCUGAUGCUAUUUAUUCAGUUUAGUAUGUGUAUUGUGUUGAUUUGGUUUGCCAAUUUUUUCUCUUUCCUGGACGGCACUGUCAUUAGGUAACUUAUUAUAUUUUUUCUUUGUUCCCUUGACCUUAAUCUACAUGCUUGAUUAAUGGCUGCACCAUUUUGUUCAAGUUAUUGUGAAAAAUAUUAAAAUUAUGCCUUGUUAAUUUAAUUGCAUGUUUCCCAGGAUAUUCCUUCCUUAGCUGCUGAUGCUGCAAAAAAGUAUCCCGGUGUAUCAUACAUCAUAACGGCUCCUCUUGGCUUGCACAAGCUCCUUGUGGUAUGAGAUUUUUCUUAUUUUUCUCUCAUGGUAUUUACAUUAAUCCUGCAAGACUUUUGGAGUCAUCACUGUACUUUCAACUUGUGCUUAGCUUUAUUUUUAGCUCUCCUUACCUGAUUGAUAUGUAGAUUAUUCACGAGUACAUGGGAUAUGACAAUACUAUUCAGUUAAUGCUAUUAAAUCAAAUUUUACCCCAUAUAUAUAUAUAUUAUAUAUAUAGGCACUAAAAUUCAUGCCCAGUUAACAGCAUUCUUAACAAAUGUACAAAAGUUUCCGAUUGACUGCAUUCUUAAUUUAAUUAAAACUAAAAUGAAAACUUUCAUCCUUAUUAUUAUUUAUUUUUACCAGCUUCCAAAAAUAUAUCACUCUUUUGCAGUGUUGUUCGCUGGUUUGAUCAAAUAGUUGUGAUCAAAAUUUUUAGUCUAGUUAUAACUACUUUUAAUUGAGAAUGCAAUCAGUUAGGAACUUAUAAACUUUCUUAUUAGGAGUGCAUAUUCCAAUUUCAAGAACACCAUCAAGUAGUAUUUCUAGGUAAUCAGACCUGUGAUUUUAUGAGAUAGACCUUGUCCUACUCGCACGUUGGACUAUGGCUUAUUUUAUCUUUUAAGAGCUCGAGAGAUCAGAAUGUGUCUGAUACCCAUAUGGCUCAUUAAGCAACAGAAGUUUCUGAUUCUCAAGGGAUAGAAUUUGUGAUGCCCUCUAUUUCCCAUUAGUAGUGUGCUAGGAUAGGCUAAAACGAGAUCAAGAAACAGAAGCAGCCAAUAUUUUUUGAGUAACACGGCAUUGAGCGACGCUACUCUGGCCAUGCUAAUUAGUUUUAUGUUUUGCAUUGAUCAUGUCCAUUUGUAAAUAAUUUCUCCAUUUUCUCACUCUCUACAGUUUUAGGUUGCAAGGUUAGUAAUGUGAUAAUUAGUUUCCUCAUUCUUUAUGGGUUUUGAACUGGUUUUUGAAAGUUUGCGUUUAACAGUUCUGUGUAAUUAGAGCAAUUAUUUGUUUUAAUUAUGUUUAAUGGGAUGAUCAAUAUUGUUGCAAGCAGAUCAGAUUCUCUUAUUGUAUUAUCGUUUCGAUAUUAGUUAAUUUGCUGAGUGACAUUCAUGGGACUUCUGUCGAUAAAACUUGAUCAUUUUUCUCAUCCUGGAAGUAUUAUAAUUUUCGUUCAAUUAGCAUAUAGUUUGCUUGCUGGAGAGGUAUGCAAUAUUUAUCUUUUGUGAGAAAGGUUGUCGUUCUUUAUUUUGAAGCCACAUCAGGAAAGUAGAUUUGAUUUUGUUCGUCGGUAAAAUUGCCUUAAUUUAUUUUCUUGCAAGUGAGAGGAAAUUGAUUUGAAAAAUGAUGCAGAGGAGGAGUUCGUGGUUUGUGGGAAGGCCUGUUGUUGGAGACUGGAACUGUCCUUUUUGCUGAGGUUCUUGGCAGAACCCUAACCGGUGAAACUGUACAGAUGCAUGGUGGAGCAGACAACUUGUCUGUGUGGAUUUGCCAGAGAAGGAAUAGAAAUUGAAAGGAAAUUUGGUGGUGCAAAAAAUCUGUAAGUAUUAUUUCUAAGGAUUAAGAGAAUAAAUAAUUUAAAAUUAGAUAACAGUUUAAAGAAUUUUAAUAGAAUAUAUUUGUACAUAUAAAUUUUUUUUAAUAAUACGCGUAUUAUUUAAUAAAUUUUUUAGAAAAAAGAAUUAUUAAAAAUUGUAUUGUAAUUAAGGGUGUUUGUUUUGUUGUGGUUUUUUAUUAUAAUAUUUGUAUUUAAAAAAAAUAUUUUUGUAGUUGGGUGAGUAAAAUAUAAAAUGUUUUUGAUAAUAGUUAAAUUGAAAAUUUAUUUUUUUAUAAAUUUAAAAUAAAAAAUUACAAAAGUUACAUGAAUUUUUAUUAAGAAUAAAUGUUAUUAUUAUUGUAUAAAUAAUAACAUAUUUUCACAAUUAUUUAUAAAAUUAUUUUUAAUGGAAAACUCAGUAAGGCAGUAAAAAAAAUAUUUAUCUUUUUAAUUUUCUCUCUCUGCCGCUCCUCAUCUUCGGUCUCUGGGUUUCCUUUUUUCUGCCCCUGAGGUUCCGCGUGUUUAUAAAGCACAGAGGUUGCGUCACGGAGACGCACCUCAGCUCCUCUAUAAAAGGGCUGAGACUCUCUUUCCUCCUUACGCAUCUGCUGUCUCCUGAUCCGGUAAGGUUUUCUUCUGAUUGCCCAUUAGAUCUGGUCCCGCUCCGAUCUUCUAGAGAUUGGAGGCGGUCUUCAUUCUCUCUGAACGGAAGAGUGCAUAAAAUAGGGCUCUUCUGCUUCCGAGUCUUCUCUCUUGUGGCGAUUUAGAGGUUGCGUCACGGAGACGCAGCUCAGCUCCUCUAUAAAAGCGCUGAGACUCUCUUCCCUCCUUCCGCCUCUGCCGUCUCCUGAUCCGGUAAGGUUUUGUUUUCGAUUGCCCAUUAGAUCUGGUCCCGCUCCGAUCUUCUAGAGAUUGGAGGCGGUCUUCAUUCUCUCUGAACAGAAGAGUGCAGAAAAUAGGGCUCUUCUACUUCUGAGUCUUCUCUUUCGCGGCGAUUUAGAGGUUGCGUCGCGGAGAGGCAGCUCAGCUCCUCUAUAAAAGCGCUGAGACUCUCUUUCCUCCUUCCGCCUCUUCUGUCUCCUGAUCCGGUAAGGUUUUCUUUCGAUUGCCCAUUAGAUCUGGUCCCGCUCCGAUCUUCUAGAGAUUGGAGGCGGUCUUCGUUCUCUCUGAAGGGAAGAGUGCAGAAAAUGGGGCUCUUCUACUUCCGAGUCUUCUCUCUUGCGGCGAUUUAGAGGUUGCGUCACGGAGACGCAGCUCAGCUCCUCUAUAAAAGCGCUGAGACUCUCUUUCCUCCUUCCGCCUCUGCCGUAUCCUGAUCCGGUAAGGUUUUCUUUUUGAUUGCCCAUCGGAUCUGGUCCCGCUCCGAUCUUCUAGAGAUUGAGGCGGUCUUCAUUCUCUCUGAACGGAAGAGUGCAGAAAAAGGGGCUCUUCUACUUCUGAGUCUUCUCUCUUGUGGCGAUUUAAAGGUUGCGUCACGGAGACGCACCUCAGCUCCUCUAUAAAAGCGCUGAGACUCUCUUUCCUCCUUCCGCCUCUGCCGUCUCCUGAUCCGGCCGAAAAUGCUAAAUUACCCUCAUCCUGCUGUAUAAUUGUCUCAGGAUUGCUCUGUUGGGCUCUUAUAAAGCAAUGGAUCCAAAUGUUGCACGAGCUGUUGAGUAAUUUCCAACUGGUUUUGGUGAUUUGCUUUUAUUAGUUGAGAUAAAAAAAUAAAACGAAUUAUUAAUUAUUAAUUUGGUUUCGGCAUUUAUAAAAAAAAAAAGUUUGUAUUUGAAAAAUAUUUUUGUAGUUAGACGAGCAAAGAAGAAAAAUGUUUUUGAUAAUAGUUAAAUUCAAAAUUUAAAAUAAAAAAUCACACUCAAUACAUCUUGGUGCUGGAUUCAAAUAUUUUCUUUCGAAAAAAGAAACUUACGUACGUGUAUUAAUAUCGGUGCCUGUGCGCAUUUACAAAAUUUUUACGAGUCUGCUAGAUUCAAAUAAUGUAUCGUUCUUGUUUCUCUCACGCUUUUUGGUUGUAUUUGAGCAAUAAUUUGUCAGAGGCAGCAAGCCAGAUCUGGAAAUAUGGCAAGUUUUUAGAAAUUGGUGCUGCGCGUUUAAUCAUCUUUAACCAACAAGAUCUUAUGCUGGUUUUCAGGUAAUUCUCUUUUGUUUCGCUCCCUUUCAAUCUUCUUUAAGAUCUCAGAAUGGAAGUCCCCAGCUUCCUAUCUCUUAGUCUCCUCUUAAACCUGAAGGUCAUUAUUUUUGGCCCGUCCAACAGUUAUGUUGCAGUCAAGAGAAAGGUUUCCAGGAUAUGCUUGAGAUGCUUGCCUCGUACAAGGAGGGGGUGUGUACCAUGUGGGAACCGUGUUCCCAUAAUCUUGAUUCUGUCCGGUUCCAUCCAAAGUGCAUAAAGAAACCUAGUUCCCACGCUGGAAACUGAUAACAGUGCUCGGUAUUUUAUGUUUAUUACCAGUUAUUGUUAAUUUAUUGCGCGACUUUCAUGGGAGUUGUAUCAAUAUGUCUUGAUCCCUUUUCUUGUUCUUUGAUUUACCGGGACCAUAUUCUGAAAAUAUUGUAAUCGUCGCUCGGUAAGGGUAUGGAUUGCUGGUUCAAGAGGUUUGCAAUAUCUAUUUACACUCGUAUCACUUGGUGCUGGAUUCAUAUGUUUUUCUUCUGUAUUAAAAAGUUACGUAUGUGUAUUAAUAUUGGUACCGAGGGGGCACUGCGCACUUACAAAAUUUUUACAAGUCCGCUGGAUUAAAAUAAUGUGACGUGCUUUGUUCCUCUCGGCGCUUUUUGCUUGUAUUUGAGCAAUCAUUUGUUAGAGGCAGCCAGGCCAGAUCUGAAAAUAUGGCAAGUUUUUAGAAAUUGAUGCUGCGCCUUUUAGUUGCCAACACGUUCUUAUGUUGGUUUUCAGGUAAUUCUCUUUUGUUUCACUCCCUUUUAUUCGUCUUUAAGAUCUCGGAAUGGAAGUCCUCAGCUUCCUUGUCCCCCGCAUCUUUGAGUCUCAUCUUAAAGCUGAAGGUCAUUAUUUUUGGCCUGUCCAGCAGUUUUGUUGUGGUUGAGAGAAAGGUUUAAAGGAUGCAUGAGAUGCUUGCCUCGUACAAGGGUGUCUAUUAUGUGGGAACCGUGUUCCCAAAAUCUUGAUUCCGUCUGGUCCAUAGUCCCUGCAAAGUCAUUCCAUCCAAAGUGCAUAAAGAAACAUAGUUCCCACGUUGGAAACUAAUAGUGUUGUUCCUUUCGACUUUUGUUACCAGUUUAUUUUUUGUUUGAUGUUCGCGGGAGUUGUAUCAGUAUGUCUUGAUCCCUUUUCUUGUUUUUUGAUUUACAGGGACCAUAUUCUGACAAUAUUAUAACGCUCGCUCGGUAAGGGUGUGGAUUGCUGGUUCGAGAGGUACGCGACAUCUCUAUUUACACUCGUAUCACUUGGUGCUGGAUUCAAAUAUUUCUCUUUGGAAGUAAAAGUUACGUAUUUUUUUAAUGUUGGUACCAAAGGGGUACUGCUGCGCAUUACAAAAAUUUCUACAAGUCUGCUAGAUUCAAAUAAUAUUUCUCUCACGCUUUUUGGUUGUAUUUGAGCAAUAAUUUGUCAGAGGCGGCAGGCCAGAUCGGGAAAUAUGGCAACUUUUUAGAAAUUGAUGCUGCGCGUUUACUUUACCAACAAGUUCUUAUGUUGGUUUUCAGGUAAUUCUCUUCCGCCCCGCUCCCUUUUAAUCAUCUUUAAUAUCUCAGCAUGGAAGUCCUCAGCUUCCUUGCCCCCCGGGCCCCACUUCUUUUAGUCUGCUCUUAAAGCUGGAGGUCAUUUUUUUUUGACGUUUGUUGUAGUCAAGAGAAAGGUUUCUAGGAUGCAUGAGAUGCUUGCCUCGUACUAGGGUGUCUUUUAUGUGGGAACCAUGUUCCCGUAAUCUUGGUUCUGUCUAUGGUUCGUAGUCCCAUAUGAACGAGGAUGCUGUGUUCUCGGGAUUUUUAUCUGAUGCGAGAAAGGUCGUCAUUCUUUAUUUCGAAGCCACAUUAGAUUGAUUUUGUGUCCCGGUAAAAGUGCCCUACUUUAUUUUAUUGAAAGUGAGAGUAAAUUGAUUUAUUGUUUCAAAAUAAAUUUGCGUCCGUGUUUAAUGGAAAAUUUUACGAUUUCUUCGGAGAAAGUAGAAUUCCCCAUGUCCUUCGGGUAGUUGGAACUUAAAAAGAAUGUGCUUGGAUCUUCUAACAGCAAGUAAAUAUUUUUGGGCAUUGUUUUAAGGUUCUUGCUUCCUUUGGUAGAAAAUAAUUUUUUAUGGUGUUCCGGUCCUGAAUUAUUGCUCAGAAACUGAAAGCAUGUUUUGUAAAUCUUUUAAAAAAUAAAUGAGCUUGAUGAACAAGAAAAUUUCCCAUUCUUGAGAAAACAAAAAAUGUUCCCUGGUCCCCCGGGUAGCACCAACUGUGAGAAAAUGUGUCUUGAGCAUUUUGAUUCCUAGUAAAUAUGUUUAUGUGUGUCGCUUCGGCAGUGAAAGCUAUCGUGAUGGGCACCCUUUCUCUCUUAGACGUUGCAAUUGGAUUUUCUAGUAUUUGAUAACCAUUUACAAAAGAUAUGUAUGCUCGGUUUUUGGAACUUUCAGAUGUAGUUUAUUGGAGAAAUGUUGUUGGUAUGUGUUUUGAAGCUUCAUUCAUGAAAUAUAGUUGGUGAAGGAUCAUUGUGGGCCGGGUCUCUUGAGUAGAAAACAUUAUUUCUGCAGCCCUUGCAUGCACGAUGAAUGUUUUAUCUGAGAUUCUCGGUCCAAAAUGUAAGAGCUUCAAUUCCAUAUUAACUACAUUUCAGUCCCAAAAUACUAGGGAAGCCAAUAUUUCAUUUUGAAAGUUAAAGGGUGUUGAUGUGUGUUUUGAAGCUUCAUACAUGAAAUAUAGCCGGUGAAGGAUCACUGUUGGCCGGGUCUCUUGAGUAGAAAACAGUAUUUGUGCAGCCCCUGCAUUCACAAUGAAUGUUUUAUUUGAGAUUCUCGGUCCAAAAUGUAAGAGCUUCAAUUCCAUAGUAACUACCUUUUCAGUCCCAAAAUACCAGGAAAGCCAAUAUUUCAUUUUGAAAGUUAAAGGUUGCUGAUGUGUGUUUUGAAGCUUCAUUUAUGAAAUAUAGUUGGUGAAGGAUCAUUAUUGGCCGGGUCUCUUGAGUAGAAAACAUUAUUUCUGCAGCCCGUGCAUUCGAAAUGAAUGCUCUAUUUGAGAUUCUCGGUCCAAAAUGUAAGAGCUUCAAUUCCAUAUUAACUUACUUUCAGGCCACAAAAAUCUAGGACAGGCAAUAUUUCAUUUUGAACGUUAAAGGUUGUUGCUGUGUGUUUUGAAGCUUCAUUUAUGAAAUAUAGUUGGUGAAGGAUCAAAAUUGGCCGGGUCUCUUUGAGUAGAAAACAUUAUUUGUGCAGCCCUUGCAUUCACAAUGAAUGUUUUAUUUGAGAUUCUGGGUCCAAAAUGUAAGAGGUUCAAUUCCAUAUUAACUACCCUUUAGUCCUAGGAAAGGCAAUAUUUCAUUUUGAAAGUGGAAGUUUUUGUCGAUAUUUCAAAACAAACUUAUGUGCCUCGGUGCAUGAGAACGUGAAUCUUGAUUUUUUGUGGCAAAAUGAAACUGCUUGCAACCCUCAAGAUGUACAGCCUCAAAAAGAUGUGGCUUAAAAUCUCAAGCCAAAGUUUGGGUGCGUCGGUUUGAAAGUGAGAGUUUCUUUGAUCACGCACUUUCUUUUGGAGAGUUAGGCGACGUUUCACUUAGUGGUGGCAAUAUGCUCUCCCAAUCUAUUUUUAGCGCGGACAGAAAAAGUUUCGUGCUAGGUUAUGGGAAUCGUCAUUAUACGUGGAAGAGGUUGCCGUUCUUUAUUUUGAAGCCACAUCGAUAAUCUAGUUGCAGCGUUUUUCCUCUGUAGAGGUGCCCCGAUUCGAUAUUUUGAAACCGACACUGUAUUUACUGAUUCUUUUAAAAUAAGUGUGCCCCUCGGUAUUCAAGCAGAAGUUUCUCUGUUUUUUGGGGAAGAGUAAAAUUGCUCUGUUCUCUUGGUUGGUUGGAACAUAGAAAGCAAUAUGUUUGGAUCUUUUGAUUGCAAGUAAAUAUUUUUUCGGCACGUGGUUUUAAAGCUUUUUGGCUUUUGUUAAAGAAUAGUUUUUUUAAAAAAAUAUAUAUACAAAAGAAUAGUUUCCUGUUUUGGAAGUUUCCUGGUUUGGGAAGUAAAUGAGACUCAAUUUAUACUUUAAAACCUAAAAGCUGUUUUUAUGCAUUAUUUAUGGAUAAAUGUGUGACUUGAUGCACAAGAAAAUGAAUUUUGAUUUCUUGGGGCAAUGUAAAUCUGCUUGGGUCUCUCUCGCAGUUCCAAGUUUUAGAAAAACUUGCAUUGACAAAGAUUUGAGGAUAUUGUGACAGCACCACUUCUGACACGGUAACUUGCUUUCAAUAUUUAGUUUACGUAAGGCAUACGAGAUGUGUUUUGAAGGUUUUGAAACCCAUGGUCUGUUGCUGCGAAAAUAUAUCAUUCGGAGUCCCGUAUUCAGAAAGUAAAAGGCCUCGAUUAAUCUUUUCGAAAGCUAGCCUGUCCAUUUAUUUUUUGAAAACGAUUUUUUUUGUUGGUCCCCUGAGCAAAUGUUCCUCAAUUUUUUGGGGCAAUGUGAGAUUUUGCAAAAUGUCCCUUGGAUAAUUCUUUCUCUAGCAAAAUGUCCCUUGAUCUUUUAGUUGGAAGUAACUAUUCUUUGCUAUGUUGGUUUAAUUAAAGUUUCUCUUGAUCUUUUGCUUUCGAAAUAAAUCUGCAGGUGUCCCCACAGGGAAAUUGUAGCAGUUGGAAAAGUAAGUGGAGGUCAAGUAAUUUUUUUAGAAACUGAAGGCGUGUUCUAUCGAUUAUUUUGAAAGAUAAGUGUGCCUUGGUGCAAAAGAAAAUGACUUUGGAUUUGCUGCAGCAAAGCAAAACUUUUUUGAUGCCCUGGGUUUUCGGAACUCUAAAAGUUGUGGUUUGGACUCUUGAUUCAAAGUAAGUGUUUUUGAGAAUACGUUGGUUUAAAGGAAAAGUAACUCUGAUAACAAACACCCUUUCUCUUGGAGAGUUGGCAGCCUUUCUCUACGUAACUGGCAGUGUGCUUUCUCAAUCAUUUUAUUGCUACGGGCGUAAGACAUGAUUGCUCGGUUAAAGGAGAUAUUCAUUUUAUUUGAGAAAGGCCUUCGUUCUUGAUUUGGGAGCCAAUUUAAUGAACUUCAGUAAAAGUGGGCGAAUUCAUUGACUCGCAAAUGAGAGUGCUUUGGUUUAUUGUUUCAAAAUAAAUGUACUUUGACUCCUAGGCAACGGUUUUUUAAAUUUCUCGGGAAAAAGUAAAAUUCAACCCGUCGCUCGGCCAGUUGGAGCUCAAAAAAAGCAUGCAUGUAUGCUGAAUUUGUCUUGGUUCUAAUCAUUGUUCUAAUGUAGGUCUUCAAAAAAUUGACCGAGAAAACUAUUUGAGAGAACCAAACCUUCGAAGUCUAUCGGACCCAAAGUGUAGUAGUCUAACCAAACUUCAGACCUUGUGGGAUCUUUUCUCUGUUUUCCUUUUUUUUUUUAAAGCAAUAUCUGUGGUUAAAAGAGAUUGGUACGUUUAACAUGCAAGGCAACUACGGAGCCUGGCGUAACCGCGUCAAUAUUAUGUUGCUGACUUUUCUUUGCUGUAGGUACUUAGUGGGAAACUUGUUUAAGCGGAAAGAACGGAGUUUGUUCCAGUGGCUAUCUACACAAACAACGUGUGCUACGCGGAAUGUGAGUAUUAUGUUACCCUGGAUUGUCUUGAAAAUAUUUCUCUCGCUUUUACUUUGUUUAAGAAACAUUUGUAGUUGUACAAAAUUAACGUUUAGAACAUGCGAGACGGUUAAAAAGCUACAGAUAACAGGGUAUGCUCAUUUUGCCAGCCUUUCCUUGGUGCAGCAAAUUGGAGCGAGGGUGAAGCCUUCCUAAGUGUAGAGCUACAGAUUGAAGGUUUUUGGACCCUACUUUAUUUAAUUUAAUAGUGGAACUUAUCCUUCUUGGAAAAUAGUAAAAGAGGCAAUCGGACCUGCUUUGUUGUUGUUUACUAGAGACGUGUUACUGAAAGGAACAAAUGAGGUUUCUUCCCAUUGCUGGUUGUGCAGGUGACGAGUGCGGCUGCGUGGCUUCUGAGUGUGAUUUUACUCCGUGUACAUUAUCAGGGAAUGGAGUUUUUACUCUUACCGAGUUUUAUUUUAUAGGGUUGUCGUCCCCGUAUUUGUAUCUGCAAUUUGUGUAGUGUUGGAACGGAAGUUUAUGGCUUGAACUUCCAUUUUGGUGGAUAUUCAACUUGGGAAAUAAGUCAUUUAGCGUGGUCCAGUUCCAGUGGAGUUCAUAGCAACCAUGUUGGCUCUUAACAAGCGGACUGAUCCGUUGAAUUACUUGCAAAUUUUGUGCUUGACUAGGGAUCUUUUGUUGAUAAAUAGAUCUUCCUAAGUGUUGGUUUGUAGUUAAUUUGAUUUUUUACCCACAAGUAGUCUUGUUCUUUUUAUCUUCGGUAUUAAACCCCUUGUUUCCUUGGAGAAGCAGCUGUUUUUGUUUCUAUUCGUGUCGUUUUGUUUACUUAGGCUCCUGUACAGUUUGCAAUUUUUUUUUGGGGCUUCAAAUGAUGAUCCAAUGUAGUGGUAAUUCGUACUGUUUCUGUUGCAAAAUGAGGAGUCAGUAUUCUGCAUAUUAGCAAAUGAUUAUUUAUACUUUGUGAUGCUCUUGGAAGUCCUUUAACCAUGGCUUGAUCCUUGUUCGUGUCUCUCUGAUUUGUGGGCGCGGCUAAAUGAUAUCCUUGGUGCAGGUGAAGUUUGUGAUUGUUAUUUGAAGAGGUACCCAAUAUCUGGCCAUUCUUCGCUGUUGUUUUCUUUCUUGCUACAUGUCAUUUUCACAGGUGCAGCUAUUUUUAUUCCAUAUUCGUCUUAUUGUUGGGCAGUGAUGCGGAGAUUGUGGCGGGGGAAGUGAUGCGGAGGGUAAAGAGAAGGAAGCUGAGAAGGUUGGUGUGGAAUAUCAUCAUCAGCCAAAACCAGGUGAUUUUGUGGUUUCUGGCAACGAAAAUAAGCUCGGUGUGAAUAUUGGAUCAGAAUUGUUGGGCACCAGGUUGACAAAGGGGGUUCUGCCCCAGGGAGAUGUGAUUUGAAAAAUGAUGCAGAGGAGGAGUUCGUGGUUUGUGGGAAGAUGAGAAUUGUCAAGGACUGGGAAGGCCAGUUGUGGAGACUGGGAACUGUCCUUUUUGCUGAGGUUCUUGGCAGAACCCUAACCGGUGAAGCUGUACAGGUGCUUGGUGGAGCAGACAACUCGCCACGCACCCGUCUGUGUGGAUUUGUCAGAGAAGGAAUAGAAAUUGAAAGGAAAAUUUGUAAGUAUUAUUUACGAGGAUUAAGAGAAUAAAUAAUUUAAAAUUAGAUAACAGUUUAAAAAAUUUUAAUAGAAUAUAUUUGUAGAUAUAAAUUUUUUUUAAUAAUACGCGUAUUAUUUAAUAAAUUUUUUAGAAAAAAGAAUUAUUAAAAAUUGUAUUGUAAUUAAGAGUGUUUAUUUUAUUGUGGUUUUUUAUUAUAAUAUUUGUAUUUAGAAAAAAUAUUUUUGUCGUUGGGUGAGUAAAAUAUAAAAUGUUUUUGAUAAUAGUUAAAUUGAAAAUUUAUUUUUUUAUAAAUUUAAAAUAAAAAAUUACAAAAGUAACAUGAAUUUUUAUUAAAAAUAAAUGUUAUUAUUAUUGUAUAAAUAAUAACAUAUUUUCACAAUUAUUUAUAAAAAUAUUUUUAAUGGAAAACUCAGUAAGGCAAUAAAAAAAAUAUUAUCUUUUUAAUUUUCUCUCUCUGCCGCUCUUCAUCUUCGGUCUCUGGUUUUCCUUUUUUCUACCCGAGGUUCCGCGUGUUUAUAAAGCACGUAGGUUGCGUCGCGGAGACGCAGCUCAGCUCCUCUAUAAAAGUGCUGAGACUUUCUUUCCUCCUUCCGCCUCUGCUGUCUCCUGAUCCGGUAAGGUUUUCUUCUGAUUGCCCAUUAGAUCUGGUCCCGCUCCGAUCUUCUAGAGAUUGGAGGCGGUCUUCAUUCUCUCUGAACGGAAGAGUGCAGAAAAUAGGGCUCUUCUGCUUCCGAGUCUUCUCUCUUGUGGCGAUUUAGAGGUUGCGUCACGGAGACGCAGCUCAGCUCCUCUAUAAAAGCGCUGAGACUCUCUUUCCUCCUUCCGCCUCUGCCGUCUCCUGAUCCGGUAAGGUUUUCUUUUUGAUUGCCCAUUAGAUCUGGUCCCGCUCCGAUCUUCUAGAGAUUGGAGGCGGUCUUCAUUCUCUCUGAACAGAAGAGUGCAGAAAAUAGGGCUCUUCUACUUCGGAGUCUUCUCUUUUGCGGCGAUUUAGAGGUUGCGUCGCGGAGAGGCAGCUCAGCUCCUCUAUAAAAGCGCUGAGACUCUCUUUCCCCCUUCCGCCUCUUCUGUCUCCUGAUCCGGUAAGGUUUUCUUUCGAUUGCCCAUUAGAUCUGGUCCCGCUCCGAUCUUCUAGAGAUUGGAGGCGGUCUUCAUUUUUUCUGAACGGAAGAGUGCAGAAAUUGGGGCUCUUCUACUUCCGAGUCUUCUCUCUUGCGGCGAUUUAGAGGUUGCGUCACGGAGACGCAGCUCAGCUCCUCUAUAAAAGCGCUGAGACUCUCUUUCCUCCUUCCGCCUCUGCCGUCUCCUGAUCCGCUAAGGUUUUCUUUUUGAUUGCCCAUUAGAUCUGGUCCCGCUCCGAUCUUCUAGAGAUUGGAGGCGGUCUUCAUUCUCUCUGAACGGAAGAGUGCAGAAAAUAGGGCUCUUCUACUUCCGAGUCUUCUCUCUUGCGGCGAUUUAGAGGUUGCGUCACGGAGACGCAGCUCAGCUCCUCUAUAAAAGCGCUGAGACUCUCUUUCCUCCUUCCGCCUCUGCCGUCUCCUGAUCCGCUAAGGUUUUCUUUUUGAUUGCCCAUUAGAUCUGGUCCCGCUCCGAUCUUCUAGAGAUUGGAGGCGGUCUUCAUUCUCUCUGAACGGAAGAGUGCAGAAAAUGGGGCUCUUCUACUCCUGAGUCUUCUCUCUUGUGGCGAUUUAGGGUUUUCCUCAGCUUCUUCUAGGUUCUAAUCGGUGAAGAGAGACGGAAGAACAGAGUUGAAGAGGGUAGGUGAAAGGAAGAGACAAUAAUUUGUAAGAGGUAUGUAUGUGUUAAUUUCUCUUAUGGAUUUGUGAGGAAUGUAUGCCUAAACGAUAAAGAGUUCCACCCGGAAAGUUUUCUGUGUUGUUCACAGUUUUGUCACCGAAGCACUAAAAUAUUUUACAAAGAGGAAAAACUCUCUCAGUGUUACGUUUAUUACCCGUUAUUGUUGAUUUACUGUGCGAUGUUCGUGGGAGCUGUAUCGAUGUGUCUUGAUCCCUCUUGUUUUUCCCUGAUUUACAGGGACCACAGUCUGACAAUAUUGUAAUCCUCGUUGAGUAAGGGUAUGGAUUGCUGGUUCAAGAGGGUAUGCAAUAUCUGUUUACACUCACACCUCUUGGUGCGGGUUCAAGAGGUAUGCUUGCCUCGAACAUGUGGUUGAACGGUAUCUUGGCCCAUUUUGAUGCUUUGAAAUGUUUAAUUUAAAUUUUACUACAUCCCUUCAGGGGUCAUAAAAUGAAGGGUAAAUGCAAAAAUAAAACCAAAUAUAAGGUGGAGGUUUUUAGAUUUUCGACUGAAUCACAAUUGAGUUGUUGGGUUUAACAAAAUUAUAAUUCAAUUUAGCCAAGUGUGAUCGGCUGAAAAUGCUAAAUUACCCUCAGCCUGCUGUGUAAUUGUUUCAGUAUUACUCUGUUGGGCUCUUAUAAAGCAAUGGAUCCAAAUGUUGCACGAGCUGUUGAGUAAUUUCCAACUGGUUUUGGUGAUUCGCUUUUAUUAGUUGAGAUAAAAAAAUAAAACGAAUUAUUAAUUAUUAAUUUGGUUUCGGCAUUAUAAAAAAAAAUUGUAUUUGAAAAAUAUUUUUGUAGUUAGAUGAGCAAAAAAGAAAAAUGUUUUUGAUAAUAGUUAAAUUCAAAAUUUAAAAUAAAAAAUUACACUCAAUACAUUUUUACGGGUCUGCUAGAUUCAAAUAAUGUAUCGUUCUUAUUUCUCUCACGCUUUUUGGUUGUAUUUGAGCAAUAAUUUGUCAGAGGCAGCAAGCCAGAUCUGGAAAUAUGGCAAGUUUUUAGAAAUUGGUGCUGCGCGUUUAGUCAUCUUUAACCAACAAGUUCUUAUGCUGGUUUUCAGGUAAUUCUCUUUUGUUUCGCUCCCUUUCAAUCUUCUUUAAGAUCUCAGAAUGGAAGUCCCCAGCUUCCUAUCUCUUAGUCUCCUCUUAAACCUGAAGGUCAUUAUUUUUGGCCCGUCCAACAGUUCUGUUGCAGUCAAGAGAAAGGUUUCCAGGAUGCUUGAGAUGCUUGCCUCGUACAAGGGGGGGUGUACCAUGUGGGAACCGUGUUCCCAUAAUCUUGAUUCUGUCCGGUUCCAUCCAAAGUGCAUAAAGAAACCUAGUUCCCUCGCUGGAAACUGAUAAUAGUGCUCGGUAUUUUAUGUUUAUUACCAGUUAUUGUUAAUUUAUUGCGUGACUUUCAUGGGAGUUGUAUCAAUAUGUCUUGAUCCCUUUUCUUGUUCUUUGAUUUACCGGGACCAUAUUCUGAAAAUAUUGUAAUCGUCGCUCGGUAAGGGUAUGGAUUGCUGGUUCAAGAGGUUUGCAAUAUCUAUUUUCACUCGUAUCACUUGGUGCUGGAUUCAUAUGUUUUUCUUCUGUAUUAAAAAGUUACGUAUGUGUAUUAAUAUUGGUACCGAGGGGGCACUGCGCACUUACAAAAUUUUUACAAGUCGGCUGGAUUAAAAUAAUGUGACGUGCUUUGUUCGUCUCGGCGCUUUUUGCUUGUAUUUGAGCAAUCAUUUGUUAGAAGCAGCAGGCCAGAUCUGAAAAUAUGGCAAGUUUUUAGAAAUUGAUGCUGCGCCUUUUAGUUGCCAACACGUUCUUAUGUUGGUUUUCAGGUAAUUCUCUUUUGUUUCACUCCCUUUUAUUCGUCUUUAAGAUCUCGGAAUGGAAGUCCUCAGCUUCCUUGUCCCCCGCAUCUUUGAGUCUCAUCUUAAAGCUGAAGGUCAUUAUUUUUGGCCUGUCCAGCAGUUUUGUUGUGGUUGAGAGAAAGGUUUAAAGGAUGCAUGAGAUGCUUGCCUCGUACAAGGGUGUCUAUUAUGUGGGAACCGUGUUCCCAAAAUCUUGAUUCCGUCUGGUCCAUAGUCCCUGCAAAGUCAUUCCAUCCAAAGUGCAUAAAGAAACAUAGUUCCCACGUUGGAAACUAAUAGUGUUGUUCCGUACGACGUUUGUUACCAGUUUAUUUUUUGUUUGAUGUUCGCGGGAGUUGUAUCAGUAUGUCUUGAUCCCUUCUCUUGUUUUUUGAUUUACAGGGACCAUAUUCUGACAAUAUUAUAACGCUCGCUCGGUAAGGGUGUGGAUUGCUGGUUCGAGAGGUACGCGACAUCUCUAUUUACACUCGUAUCACUUGGUGCUGGAUUCAAAUAUUUCUCUUUGGAAGUAAAAGUUACGUAUUUGUUUAAUGUUGGUACCAAAGGGGUACUGCUGCGCAUUACAAAAAUUUCUACAAGUCUGCUAGAUUCAAAUAAUAUUUCUCUCACGCUUUUUGGUUGUAUUUGAGCAAUAAUUUGUCAGAGGCGGCAGGCCAGCCAGAUCGGGAAAUAUGGCAACUUUUUAGAAAUUGAUGCUGCGCGUUUACUUUACCAACAAGUUCUUAUGUUGGUUUUCAGGUAAUUCUCUUCCGCCCCGCUCCCUUUUAAUCAUCUUUAAUAUCUCAGCAUGGAAGUCCUCAGCUUCCUUGCCCCCCGGGCCCCACUUCUUUUAGUCUGCUCUUAAAGCUGGAGGUCAUUUUUUUUUGACGUUUGUUGUAGUCAAGAGAAAGGUUUCUAGGAUGCAUGAGAUGCUUGCCUCGUACUAGGGUGUCUUUUAUGUGGGAACCAUGUUCCCGUAAUCUUGGUUCUGUCUAUGGUUCGUAGUCCCAUAUGAACGAGGAUGCUGUGUUCUCGGGAUUUUUAUCUGAUGCGAGAAAGGUCGUCAUUCUUUAUUUCGAAGCCACAUUAGAUUGAUUUUGUGUCCCGGUAAAAGUGCCCUACUUUAUUUUAUUGAAAGUGAGAGUAAAUUGAUUUAUUGUUUCAAAAUAAAUUUGCGUCCGUGUUUAAUGGAAAAUUUUACGAUUUCUUCGGAGAAAGUAGAAUUCCCCAUGUCCUUCGGGUAGUUGGAACUUAAAAAGAAUGUGCUUGGAUCUUCUAACAGCAAGUAAAUAUUUUUGGGCAUUGUUUUAAGGUUCUUGCUUCCUUUGGUAGAAAAUAAUUUUUUAUGGUGUUCCGGUCCUGAAUUAUUGCUCAGAAACUGAAAGCAUGUUUUGUAAAUCUUUUAAAAAAUAAAUGCGCCUGAUGAACAAGAAAAUUUCCCAUUCUUGAGAAAACAAAAAAUGUUCCCUGUUCCCCCGGGUAGCACCAACUGUGAGAAAAUGUGUCUUGAGCAUUUUGAUUCCUAGUAAAUAUGUUUAUGUGUGUCGCUUCGGCAGUGAAAGCUAUCGUGAUGGGCACCCUAUCUCUCUUAGACGUUGCAAUUGGAUUUUCUAGUAUUUGAUAACCAUUUUACAAAAGAUAUGUAUGCUCGGUUUUGGGAACUUUCAGAUUUAGUUUAUUGGAGAAAUGUUGUUGGUAUGUGUUUUGAAGCUUCAUUCAUGAAAUAUAGUUGGUGAAGGAUCAUUGUGGGCCGGGUCUCUUGAGUAGAAAACAUUAUUUCUGCAGCCCUUGCAUGCACAAUGAAUGUUUUAUCUGAGAUUCUCGGUCCAAAAUGUAAGAGCUUCAAUUCCAUAUUAACUACAUUUCAGUCCCAAAAUACUAGGGAAGCCAAUAUUUCAUUUUGAAAGUUAAAGGGUGUUGAUAUGUGUUUUGAAGCUUCAUUCAUGAAAUAUAGCCGGUGAAGGAUCACUGUUGGCCGGGUCUCUUGAGUAGAAAACAGUAUUUGUGCAGCCCCUGCAUUCACAAUGAAUGUUUUAUUUGAGAUUCUCGGUCCAAAAUGUAAGAGCUUCAAUUCCAUAUUAACUACCUUUUCAGUCCCAAAAUACCAGGAAAGCCAAAAUUUCAUUUUGAAUGUUAAAGGUUGCUGAUAUGUGUUUUGAAGCUUCAUUUAUGAAAUAUAGUUGGUGAAGGAUCAUUAUUGGCCGGGUCUCUUGAGUAGAAAACAUUUUUUCUGCAGCCCGUGCAUUCGCAAUGAAUGCUCUAUUUGAGAUUCUCGGUCCAAAAUGUAAGAGCUUCAAUUCCAUAUUAACUUCCUUUCAGGCCACAAAAAUCUAGGACAGGCAAUAUUUCAUUUUGAACGUUAAAGGUUGUUGCUGUGUGUUUUGAAGCUUCAUUUAUGAAAUAUAGUUGGUGAAGGAUCAAAAUUGGCCGGGUCUCUUUGAGUAGAAAACAUUAUUUGUGCAGCCCUUGCAUUCACAAUGAAUGUUUUAUUUGAGAUUCUGGGUCCAAAAUGUAAGAGGUUCAAUUCCAUAUUAACUACCCUUUAGUCCUAGGAAAGGCAAUAUUUCAUUUUGAAAGUGGAAGUUUUUGUCGAUAUUUCAAAACAAACUUAUGUGCCUCGGUGCAUGAGAACGUGAAUCUUGAUUUUUUGUGGCAAAAUGAAACUGCUUGCAACCCUCAAGAUGUACAGCCUCAAAAAGAUGUGGCUUAAAAUCUCAAGCCAAAGUUUGGGUGCGUCGGUUUGAAAGUGAGAGUUUCUUUGAUCACGCACUUUCUUUUGGAGAGUUAGGCGACGUUUCACUUAGUGGUGGCAAUAUGCUCUCCCAAUCUAUUUUUAGCGCGGACAGAAAAAGUUUCGUGCUAGGUUAUGGGAAUCUUCAUUAUACGUGGAAGAGGUUGCCGUUCUUUAUUUUGAAGCCACAUCGAUAAUCUAGUUGCAGCGUUUUUCCUCUGUAGAGGUGCCCCGAUUCGAUAUUUUGAAACCGACACUGUAUUUACUGAUUCUUUUAAGAUAAGUGUGCCCCUCGGUAUUCAAGCAGAAGUUUCUCUGUUUUUUGGGGAAGAGUAAAAUUGCUCUGUUCUCUUGGUUGGUUGGAACAUAGAAAGCAAUAUGUUUGGAUCUUUUGAUUGCAAGUAAAUAUUUUUUCGGCACGUGGUUUUAAAGCUUUUUGGCUUUUGUUAAAGAAUAGUUUUUUUAAAAAAAUAUAUAUACAAAAGAAUAGUUUCCUGUUUUGGAAGUUUCCUGGUUUGGGAAGUAAAGGAGACUCAAUUUAUACUUUAAAACCUAAAAGCUGUUUUUAUGCAUUAUUUAUGGAUAAAUGUGUGACUUGAUGCACAAGAAAAUGAAUUUUGAUUUCUUGGGGCAAUGUAAAUCUGCUUGGGUCCCUCUCGCAGUUCCAAGUUUUAGAAAAACUUGCAUUGACAAAGAUUCGAGGAUAUUGUGACAGCACCACUUCUGACACGGUAACUUGCUUUCAAUAUUUAGUUUACGUAAGGCAUACGAGAUGUGUUUUGAAGGUUUUGAAACCCAUGGUCUGUUGCUGCGAAAAUAUAUCAUUCGGAGUCCCGUAUUCAGAAAGUAAAAGGCCUCGAUUAAUCUUUUCGAAAGCUAGCCUGUCCAUUUAUUUUUUGAAAACGAUUUUUUUUGUUGGUCCCCUGAGCAAAUGUUCCUCAAUUUUUUGGGGCAAUGUGAGAUUUUGCAAAAUGUCCCUUGGAUAAUUCUUUCUCUAGCAAAAUGUCCCUUGAUCUUUUAGUUGGAAGUAACUAUUCUUUGCUAUGUUGGUUUAAUUAAAGUUUCUCUUGAUCUUUUGCUUUCGAAAUAAAUCUGCAGGUGUCCCCACAGGGAAAUUGUAGCAGUUGGAAAAGUAAGUGGAGGUCAAGUAAUUUUUUUAGAAACUGAAGGCGUGUUCUAUCGAUUAUUUUGAAAGAUAAGUGUGCCUUGGUGCAAAAGAAAAUGACUUUGGAUUUGCUGCAGCAAAGCAAAACUUUUUUGAUGCCCUGGGUUUUCGGAACUCUAAAAGUUGUGGUUUGGACUCUUGAUUCAAAGUAAGUGUUUUUGAGAAUACGUUGGUUUAAAGGAAAAGUAACUCUGAUAACAAACACCCUUUCUCUUGGAGAGUUGGCAGCCUUUCUCUACGUAACUGGCAGUGUGCUUUCUCAAUCAUUUUAUUGCUACGGGCGUAAGACAUGAUUGCUCGGUUAAAGGAGAUAUUCAUUUUAUUUGAGAAAGGCCUUCGUUCUUGAUUUGGGAGCCAAUUUAAUGAACUUCAGUAAAAGUGGGCGAAUUCAUUGACUCGCAAAUGAGAGUGCUUUGGUUUAUUGUUUCAAAAUAAAUGUACUUUGACUCCUAGGCAACGGUUUUUUAAAUUUCUCGGGAAAAAGUAAAAUUCAUCCUCGCUCGGCCAGUUGGAGCUCAAAAAAAGCAUGCAUGUAUGCUGAAUUUGUCUUGGUUCUAAUCAUUGUUCUAAUGUAGGUCUUCAAAAAAUUGACCGAGAAAACUAUUUGAGAGAACCAAACCUUCGAAGUCUAUCGGACCCAAAGUGUAGUAGUCUAACCAAACUUCAGACCUUGUGGGAUCUUUUCUCUGUUUUCUUUUUUUUUUUUAAAGCAAUAUCUGUGGUUAAAAGAGAUUGGUACGUUUAACAUGCAAGGCAACUACGGAGCCUGGCGUAACCGCGUCAAUAUUAUGUUGCUGACUUUUCUUUGCUGUAGGUACUUAGUGGGAAACUUGCUUAAGCGGAAAGAACGGAGUUUGUUCCAGUGGCUAUCUACACGAACAACGUGUGCUACGCGGAAUGUGAGUAUUAUGUUACCCUGGAUUGUCUUGAAAAUAUUUCUCUCGAUUUUACUUUGUUUAAGAAACAUUUGUAGAUGUACAAAAUUAACGUUUAGAACAUGCGAGACGGUUAAAAAGCUACAGAUAACAGGGUAUGCUCAUUUUGCCAGCCUUUCCUUGGUGCAGCAAAUUGGAGCGAGGGUGAAGCCUUCCUAAGUGUAGAGCUACAGAUUGAAGGUUUUUGGACCCUACUUUAUUUAAUUUAAUAGUGGAACUUAUCCUUCUUGGAAAAUAGUAAAAGAGGCAAUCGGACCUGCUUUGUUGUUGUUUACUAGAGACGUGUUGCUGAAAGGAACAAAUGAGGUUUCUUCCCGUUGCUGGUUGUGCAGGUGACGAGUGCGGCUGCGUGGCUUCUGAGUGUGAUUUUACUCCGUGUACAUUAUCAGGGAAUGGAGUUUUUACUCUUACCGAGUUUUAUUUUAUAGGGUUGUCGUCCCCGUAUUUGUAUCUGCAAUUUGUGUAGUGUUGGAACGGAGGUUUAUGGCUUGAACUUCCAUUUUGGUGNNNNNNNNNNNNNNNNNNNNNNNNNNNNNNNNNNNNNNNNNNNNNNNNNNNNNNNNNNNNNNNNNNNNNNNNNNNNNNNNNNNNNNNNNNNNNNNNNNNNNNNNNNNNNNNNNNNNNNNNNNNNNNNNNNNNNNNNNNNNNNNNNNNNNNNNNNNNNNNNNNNNNNNNNNNNNNNNNNNNNNNNNNNNNNNNNNNNNNNNNNNNNNNNNNNNNNNNNNNNNNNNNNNNNNNNNNNNNNNNNNNNNNNNNNNNNNNNNNNNNNNNNNNNNNNNNNNNNNNNNNNNNNNNNNNNNNNNNNNNNNNNNNNNNNNNNNNNNNNNNNNNNNNNNNNNNNNNNNNNNNNNNNNNNNNNNNNNNNNNNNNNNNNNNNNNNNNNNNNNNNNNNNNNNNNNNNNNNNNNNNNNNNNNNNNNNNNNNNNNNNNNNNNNNNNNNNNNNNNNNNNNNNNNNNNNNNNNNNNNNNNNNNNNNNNNNNNNNNNNNNNNNNNNNNNNNNNNNNNNNNNNNNNNNNNNNNNNNNNNNNNNNNNNNNNNNNNNNNNNNNNNNNNNNNNNNNNNNNNNNNNNNNNNNNNNNNNNNNNNNNNNNNNNUUUAAUAAUCCAUUGGUCAAGGUCGGUAAGGGAAAUUCAACCGUAGAGAUGUGUGGAAAAGUGUAUCGCAUAGCUCCAGUUACUCUUACUCAACAGCAGCAAGCUUUCCAUCAGAAAAGGAGAUCUAGAGCAUACCAGUGGAAGGGACCAACUGUGUUCCUUAAGGACGCGGAUUCCAUACCUCCUGAUGUAGACCCCAAUACAACCAGAUGGAUUCCAGCCAAUCAUUUUUUUGCAACCACUGCAGCUGACAUUGAUUAGACCUGGCACAAAACAAUAUGUAUCAGGAGCAUGGUGUUCCAUUUCGUAUUCAGGCUGAGCAUGAGGCAGUAGAGAGGAAGCUUGAAGCGGCUUGAAUGGCAUGCAUGGUAACAGAGAGUAACUUUUCACUAUAAAAUGCCCUAAAUAACCAUAUAUAUUCUUCACUGAAGUUGCAUCCUUACCGAUCAACUUACAGUAAAUCCUGUAGAAGGUCGGAAGCCUAACCCAUAAUGAACUAAUAGUGAAAGCACCAGCGGGCUAGUCAGUUUGGGCAUAAACCUAAAAUUGAGUUUCUCUACUUGCAUUAUCUCUUAUCAAAAUAUUAAUCCUGUAGUUUCAGGUGCUAAAGAUACUUGCAAUUAUGGAAGUAGAAAUCAUACUGGUAAACCUAUGAUGCGUCCUUGACUUUCGAUUCUAAGGCCUUGUUUUACCAGGACGGAUUUGAACCUUUCUUUGUUUUUUUUUUUUUUUU